UGGCGAACGGGUGAGUAACACGUGGGUGAUCUGCCCUGCACUCUGGGAUAAGCCUGGGAAACUGGGUCUAAUACCGUAUAGGACCAUGCUUUAGUGUGUGUGGUGGAAAGUUUUUUCGGUGUAGGAUGAGCCCGCGGCCUAUCAGCUUGUUGGUGGGGUAAUGGCCUACCAAGGCGGCGACGGGUAGCCGGACUGAGAGGUUGGUCGGCCACAUUGGGACUGAGAUACGGCCCAG
RNAcentral lists this ribosomal RNA (235 nucleotides) under uncultured Actinomycetales bacterium. RNAcentral's name for it is "partial 16S ribosomal RNA". It matches the Rfam family "Bacterial small subunit ribosomal RNA", at positions 96 to 334 of the family's 1533-position model. The record is from RNAcentral. Lineage: Bacteria; Bacillati; Actinomycetota; Actinomycetes; Actinomycetales.